GAGCUAAGAAAAGCUGGGAAGACCUCUGGCUACCUUUCUGAUUAAGGAGCCGCUAACAGACAAGGUGCAGGAACUAUCUGCACGCCACACCGCUGUGCUGGGUAUUGAUAAUUCAUUUAAUGACAUCCAAGCAGAAUGAAUAUCCCACAUGAAAGGACAAAGUCAGCUCCCGGGAAAUAAUUAAGGAGACAGCAAAGUGACAUUUACACCAGCGGACAAGAUUCAUUAGAGUUUCUGCAGCAACGCUAAUACAAGACCCUUCCUUGAGGACGAGCAGAGGUGGUGGCUGUAUAAUAGUUAUUAUUACAUUAUUAUCGCGGCUCAUCUCUGCCUUGUGAAGAGAUUCCCUGUGUCUGAUGAAAGCAUACAGGUCUCCUCUCGUGUCUCAGGAGACGCAACAGGAGUCCAACAUGAGAGGCUGUCAUCUUAAUCAGCUCCCCCUGACCGAACUGCUUAUUUGGGGAGAAAUUUCGUGGCAUGGAGCCGUAGCAGUCAAUGAAAGAUAAAAUGCAUUAAAUUCCUGCUCUGUUACGGAUUACUGAUCGUGUGCUCGUGUUCUUACCCUUGAUCUGUUCAUCUUAUUGAACGACAUCUGUGAAAAUCUGAUUUUUUCCAUAAA
Molecule: long non-coding RNA, 619 nt
Organism: Brienomyrus brachyistius
Lineage: Eukaryota; Metazoa; Chordata; Actinopteri; Osteoglossiformes; Mormyridae
Exons: 3
Source: RefSeq, a predicted model, not a curated record